Molecule: transfer RNA, 58 nt
Filed under: Apaloderma vittatum (bar-tailed trogon)
Lineage: Eukaryota; Metazoa; Chordata; Aves; Trogoniformes; Trogonidae
Rfam family: tRNA
About the family: Transfer RNA (tRNA) molecules are approximately 80 nucleotides in length. Their secondary structure includes four short double-helical elements and three loops (D, anti-codon, and T loops).
Source: Rfam by way of RNAcentral
UAGCUCAGUCAGUUGAGCCUGGUGUUAACAACGCCAAGGUCAUGGGUUCGAUUCCCGU